GGACUCUCGCCCAUUUCCCACAGACCUAUAUACCCCGCCUGCAAACCUGACGGAAAGGCCCACACACCACACCAGAGAGAUGUGGAGGGACGGAGCAUUCAUCAUAGACAGCAUUGGAGCCCCCGUCCCGGAACCCUGAGCAUGCCUGCAGGUAGUGGAGGGUUUGCCUUCAUCAGCAAACACCAGAUGCCUUUCACAUCUUACC
RNAcentral lists this long non-coding RNA (205 nucleotides) under Homo sapiens (human). Its description in RNAcentral is "long non-coding RNA NONHSAT178042.1". The record is from RNAcentral. Lineage: Eukaryota; Metazoa; Chordata; Mammalia; Primates; Hominidae.